Molecule: ribosomal RNA, 253 nt
Filed under: uncultured bacterium
Lineage: Bacteria
Description: partial 16S ribosomal RNA
Rfam family: Bacterial small subunit ribosomal RNA
Source: RNAcentral
UACGUAGGGCGCAAGCGUUAUCCGGAAUUAUUGGGCGUAAAGAGCUCGUAGGCGGUUUGUCGCGUCUGGCGUGAAAGUCCGGGGCUCAACUCCGGAUCUGCGGUGGGUACGGGCAGACUAGAGUGAUGUAGGGGAGACUGGAAUUCCUGGUGUAGCGGCGAAAUGCGCAGAUAUCAGGAGGAACACCGAUGGCGAAGGCAGGUCUCUGGGCAUUAACUGACGCUGAGGAGCGAAAGCAUGGGGAGCGAACAGG